RNAcentral lists this transfer RNA (75 nucleotides) under bacterium. RNAcentral's name for it is "tRNA-Glu". It matches the Rfam family "tRNA". Rfam says of the family: Transfer RNA (tRNA) molecules are approximately 80 nucleotides in length. Their secondary structure includes four short double-helical elements and three loops (D, anti-codon, and T loops). The record is from RNAcentral.
GGUCCCAUCGUCUAACGGUUAGGACGGGUCCCUCUCACGGACCAAAUCGGGGUUCGAUUCCCCGUGGGACUACCA